Molecule: long non-coding RNA, 219 nt
Filed under: Hordeum vulgare
Lineage: Eukaryota; Viridiplantae; Streptophyta; Magnoliopsida; Poales; Poaceae
Description: long non-coding RNA (HVUL_LNC000192)
Source: RNAcentral
ACAAUCAAGCCUCAGAUCCACCUCGAAAGCCGAAUAUCUCGCAGGAAGCGCAGAUCGGGCAUGCCAACUCCACUGCGCCUCCGCGUCGAACCACCAACCGGCGCACCGUCCGCCCAUUGCAGACCCCGACGGCCAGCCCCGUCGCCGGAGCGGACAGAUCGGGAUCGCCCCGAUCUGAGCCUCCGAGACCGCUCCUGGACGGCUGUCGCAACAGCCGAG